Molecule: long non-coding RNA, 1428 nt
Organism: Herpailurus yagouaroundi (jaguarundi)
Lineage: Eukaryota; Metazoa; Chordata; Mammalia; Carnivora; Felidae
Exons: 2
Source: RefSeq, a predicted model, not a curated record
CCUCGCCUGCCCGCCGCCGCCCACCCCCGGCCCGGCGAUCGCCCCGCCGCAUUCCUGCGCGCUGCCUGCUGCCGACCCGGUGACUCACGGCCCAGGCAGCCCGGGAACGCCCGGCCUCGUCCUGGGCCCGCAGCCGCUGGUUUUCCUAUUUGGAAACUCCUUAGCCGCCUCCGCGCCAGCCACCCGGUCUCCUCCCAGGUCCCCCGUAGGCGGCUGGGAAGGAGGGCAGGGAAGCCUGGGGACAAGCGCCUUUUCUGCGGAGGGGGACCCACGACCGGCCUUAGAGAGGAUGGGUGUAUGCUUCCUUGUCCCCAAUUCAAGAAUCUCCAAAUGCCCGGCAGCCACAUUUACAGGAUGGCAAAACCUGGCUUGAACUGCAAAGAGACGGAGUUGCAGUCUUUAUCCUGCUGAAAUGUGGACGCUUAUACAUUUUGCUGCAGAAAUGUACCCAUCUUGAGUACAGGAGAGUCUGUCCUAGGUUCCCCGGGAGGUGCUGUAUCAUAUACAAUUGAUGCAUAUUUUAGAAUCUCCUUUCUAAAAUCUGAAAAAUUCUGAAUUUGAAAACCCAUCUGGCUCCCAGGAGUCUAGAUCCACUGCCUUGGUGAAGACCCUGCCCUCUCUUUCCUGGCAGCCUGGCAUCCCGUGAAGUCCUAUGGCCUAAUGUGUAGACUCUGCCUUCAGACCUCCCAAGUGCAUCUGGGGCCACCACUCCCGGCUUUGUGUGGCAGUUUGAAAACGUACCCACAAAUUCUUUGGCACCGUGCCCGUCAAGAAAUGGGGCCUACGUCUUCUCUCCUCGAAGCUGAGCCAACCUUAGAGAGGCCGGUGACAAUAGGGGACGGCAGAAGUUAUUGUGAUAGGACUUCCAAGGCUAGGUCUUAAGGACACUUCAGCUUCCUUCGAGUUCUCCAGGGACAGUGACCUUUGGCACUAGGAGCUGCCAUGUAAACGGUACAAACUCCGCCAUAUUUGUGGAGGUGUCUGGCCAGCAGUCCCAGCCAAGGUCCGUGUGGCCAGCCAAUGUCAACUGGAGACAGCGAGGGGCUCUGCACUUAGGAAUGGAUGAGCCAGGGGGACCUGCCAGGGUGCUGGGAGCUUCUCCAUCAGGGCCCCAUGGGCUCAGAGGGUCAGAGCCCCCCCACAUCUGAGCUCACAAUAGUGAGAGAGCUUGGCUCUGGAGGUUGCUCCCACCCUUCCUCUGGGCAGAGUCACUGGGUUAGAAGGGACCAACGAUCUGGCCUGUUGAAACACGCUCACUCUCUAAUCUGUGUUUCCUUUAUACUCUACCCAGUAGAGUAUGAACUCCACAAAGACAGGAGCUCACCGGAGUUUAUCUAUGUUGUAGUCUGCUACAUCUCCAGUACUUACAACAGUGACAGUAGGUGCUCAGUGAACAUUCACUGAGUAAGUAAAUGGAUGGAUGGAUGG